Non-coding RNA from Sphagnurus paluster, 94 nucleotides. The record is from the annotation of a GenBank genome assembly. Lineage: Eukaryota; Fungi; Basidiomycota; Agaricomycetes; Agaricales; Lyophyllaceae.
UCCGGUAUGGUGUAACGGCUAACAUUGCCGCCUUUCAUUGCAGUGAAUUGUGUGUGGUACGCGGCAGCUCGGGGUUCGAUUCCCCGUACCGGAA